CCCCGCCUCUCUCUCUCUCUUCUAUCCCGCUCUCUCUCUCUCCGAUCUCGCCUCUCUCUCCGAUCUCCCCACAGGAAUCCGCGCUCUCUUCGACCUCCUGCCGAUGUAACAUACCAGAUUUUGGUAUAAAAGUAAAAAUAAAUAAAAAUAAUGUGAGAUACUAUUUCUAUUAGAUUUAAAGAAGUAAAAUAUAAGUCAGAAGUGACUUGUGCUGAAAUCGGAAUGAAAACAGAAGAUUUAGAAUUUUCUGUUGGAAACGGGACAGAUAAAUUAGUAGAAAAUGCACAGUGUCAGAAAAUUAUGAAAACUGGAGGAUAAGCCAGAAUCAUUUUUAUGAGGCUAGAUUUAAAGUUUCAUAUCAUUUUGACACCCGAAAGGUGGAAAAUAAAAUCCGAAAGCUAUCUGAUAAAGAUUGCAGUUCGGUACAGUUUUCGGUGACUAAACGGGGUCGAAAUUGAAAUAUUAAAAUUUGUUUGGACUCGUUAAGUAAAACCAAAUAUAACUGUCAAAUUUGAGCUCAAACGGAUGUUCAGGGAGCUCCGGCGAAAGAUAUCAGAUUUUGAGCUGCCUGGAGUGAAUAGUGUUUUGAGGGUGUUUGUGACACCCCA
Molecule: long non-coding RNA, 608 nt
Filed under: Ananas comosus (pineapple)
Lineage: Eukaryota; Viridiplantae; Streptophyta; Magnoliopsida; Poales; Bromeliaceae
Description: long non-coding RNA (ACOM_LNC035939)
Source: RNAcentral